This 460-nucleotide ribosomal RNA is filed under the name uncultured bacterium. RNAcentral describes it as "partial 16S ribosomal RNA". It matches the Rfam family "Bacterial small subunit ribosomal RNA", at positions 338 to 795 of the family's 1533-position model. The record is from RNAcentral.
CCUACGGGGGGCUGCAGUGAGGAAUAUUGGUCAAUGGGCGCAAGCCUGAACCAGCCAAGUCGCGUGAGGGAUGAAUGCCCUACGGGUUGUAAACUUCUUUUGUAGGGGAAUAAAGUGAGGCACGUGUGCCUUUUUGUAUGUACUUUGUGAAUAAAGAUCGGCUAAGUCCGUGCCAGGAGGCGCGGGCAUACGGAGGGUCUGAGGGUUAUCCGGAUUUAUUGGGGUUAAAGGGGUCGUAGAGGGGUUGUUAAGUCAGUGGUGAAAGUUUGCGGCUCAACCGUAGAAUGGCAAUUGAUACUGGCAGUCUUGAGUACAGUUGAGGUAGGCGGAAUUCGUGGUGUAGCGGUGAAAUGCUUAGAGAUCACGAAGAACCCAGAUUGCGAAGGCAGCUUACGAAACUGCCACUGACAUUGAUGCUCGAAAGUGUGGGUAUCAAACAGGAUUAGAGACACGAGUAGUC